GAGGAACUCAGCUUCAGGACAAGACAACAUUACAGUAUGGCCCAUUGGAGGAGAUGAACAGGAGCUGCCCAGAUGUGAGGGGUAUGACAUCAUCCAUGGAGACUCACCUGACUGCUGAACCUAGCGAAGGAAGGCUUGGGGUUACGCUACUGCAAGUGGUAAAGGCAUGUGAGGGCCUUAAAGUGAAUUAAUUCAAAGAAACCAGAACCCAAGGAUUCCAGUUUUAUCUCAGAGCCCAGGACAGACAGGCCCUUUCUCUCCCUCCUAACUGUGAGUCCACAUGGUUGGAAGCCAGGACCCCAAGCAAUCAACACAGAGGACACUCAGAGGCGGACCAGUUGAGAGAUAACAAACAGUCCUUCAAGACCCACGCUCUCCUUCCUUAGUGUAUCGGAGUCCAGGACUGCAGGAGCCUGGAUUUCUGAAUCAGUGGGUGGGGAAAGCAAUCCACCAAGAAAUGUCAGUCUUGGACUAUGAUGGAAAUGAGAACUACCUUCUUUUGCAUUGGAAUCUGGAUAUGCCCUGGGCUUUCUGAACUACCUAUUCACCCGACCAACACACAUAUUAUGUGACAUCAGGCCCCUUGACACACCUGUCUAGCACAUCUUCAUGGCUCCAUUGCCUGCCUUUAGAGAGAGUUCUUGUGGCUGGGAUAAAGUACGUGCUGUGUGAACACGAGGACCUGUGUUCUGUCCCCCAGCAUUCAUGUAAAAAGCUGGGUGUGGAGGUAUGUUCCCUGGAAUCCCAGUGCUGGGGAAAUAGACAGGUGGAUUCCUGGAGAUCACUGGCUGACCAGCCUUGCCAAGCCAAUGAACUCCAGGGUCAGUGAGACCGUUUCAAAAAUAAAGGUAGAGAGCGAGAGUA
Long non-coding RNA from Onychomys torridus (southern grasshopper mouse), 864 nucleotides. RefSeq lists it as uncharacterized. The record is from RefSeq and is a predicted model, not a curated record. The transcript has 5 exons. NCBI's taxonomy places the organism in Eukaryota, Metazoa, Chordata, Mammalia, Rodentia, Cricetidae.